CAUGAAGUCGGAAUUGCUGUAAUCGCGGAUCAGCAUGCCGCGGUGAAUACGUUCCCGGGCCUUGUACACACCGCCCGUCACACCAUGGGAGCCGGUAAUACCCGAAGUCAGUAGUCCAACCUCGUGAGGACGCUGCCGAAGGUAGGAUUGGCGACUGGGGUGAAGUCGUAACAAGGUACC
RNAcentral lists this ribosomal RNA (180 nucleotides) under uncultured bacterium. RNAcentral describes it as "partial 16S ribosomal RNA". It matches the Rfam family "Bacterial small subunit ribosomal RNA", at positions 1319 to 1500 of the family's 1533-position model. The record is from RNAcentral.